Molecule: non-coding RNA, 28 nt
Filed under: Homo sapiens (human)
Lineage: Eukaryota; Metazoa; Chordata; Mammalia; Primates; Hominidae
Source: RNAcentral
UGGUGACAUGCAGUUUGAGCUACUGCCU